This 253-nucleotide ribosomal RNA is filed under the name uncultured bacterium. RNAcentral's name for it is "partial 16S ribosomal RNA". It matches the Rfam family "Bacterial small subunit ribosomal RNA", at positions 524 to 776 of the family's 1533-position model. The record is from RNAcentral.
UACAGGGGGUGCAAACGUUGCUCGGAAUCAUUGGGCGUAAAGCGCACGUAGGCGGUCUGUUAUGUCGGAUGUGAAAGCCCUUGGCUCAACUGAGGAAGUGCAUCCGAAACUGGCAGGCUAGAGUACUAAAGAGGAUCGCGGAAUUCCCGGUGUAGAGGUGAAAUUCGUAGAUAUCAAGCGGAACACCGGUGGCGAAGGCGGCCUUCUGGACAGUGACUGACGCUGAGACGCGAAAGCGUGGGGAGCAAACAGG